CCUACGGGGGGCUGCAGUGGGGAAUAUUGGACAAUGGGGGGAACCCUGAUCCAGCCAUGCCGCGUGUGUGAAGAAGGCCCUCGGGUUGUAAAGCACUUUCAGUGAGGAAGAACGCCUGGUGGUUAAUACCCAUCAGGAAAGACAUCACUCACAGAAGAAGCACCGGCUAACUCCGUGCCAGCAGCCGCGGUAAUACGGAGGGUGCGAGCGUUAAUCGGAAUUACUGGGCGUAAAGCGCGCGUAGGUGGCUUGAUAAGCCGGUUGUGAAAGUCCCGGGCUCAACCUGGGAACGGCAUCCGGAACUGUCAAGCUAGAGUGCAGGAGAGGAAGGUAGAAUUCCCGGUGUAGCGGUGAAAUGCGUAGAGAUCGGGAGGAAUACCAGUGGCGAAGGCGGCCUUCUGGACUGACACUGACACUGAGGUGCGAAAGCGUGGGUAGCAAACAGGAUUAGAUACCCGUGUAGUC
RNAcentral lists this ribosomal RNA (465 nucleotides) under Vreelandella stevensii. RNAcentral describes it as "partial 16S ribosomal RNA". It matches the Rfam family "Bacterial small subunit ribosomal RNA", at positions 338 to 795 of the family's 1533-position model. The record is from RNAcentral. Lineage: Bacteria; Pseudomonadati; Pseudomonadota; Gammaproteobacteria; Oceanospirillales; Halomonadaceae.